This is a long non-coding RNA of Entelurus aequoreus (snake pipefish), 706 nucleotides long. RefSeq lists it as uncharacterized. The record is from RefSeq and is a predicted model, not a curated record. The transcript has 3 exons. NCBI's taxonomy places the organism in Eukaryota, Metazoa, Chordata, Actinopteri, Syngnathiformes, Syngnathidae.
CCAGGAUGUCGACAGGAUUUCCUGUUUUGUCCAGCAGGGGGCGCCACUUUGGGUCUUCAAUGUCCUCCAGGAGUGCAGCCAGCUCAGCCUCCAACUUGCCAACAGUGUCCUCCACUUUCUGCAAAAAAUACAGAGGGUGUGUCCAUGAGCACCAACUGAAAAACGAGGGUCCAUCCACCCAAACUCCAUUGUGUCUUAACAAAAAGUGAAACCAUUCUUCGUUGGAAGGUUGCCUACACUUUAGAAGAUAUAUACUUUGGAUCCAACACCAUCCCCUCAGACGAGAGCUGUCCUAUCUAGUCCUUGAGCAUGGACUGUGAAGCCCUCUAUGACAAUCUGAACAAUCGUCACCUUUUCCACCACAUCCAGGCGGUUGUGAAGACUUGCGUGUUCCUGACAUGCACUUGAAGGGGCCGCUCGAGGUGUUCUCUCAGAAUCUGAAAGUCCAACAGAAAAUGCACAUAUCAUUGCAGCCUUUUUCCACCACAGGAAAUUUACUUCCAGAACUUUUGUUAUUGGCCAUCUUGAAGGAACCAAAUUUGUCCCACCUUCACAUGUAGUACUUUUUAGGUUCCUAAAACCUUCAGGCAGGCAUAUCUGAUGUGAUGGCUACUUAGAGCUGUGCAAAUGCAAAUCACACUUGGCCACGGUACCUGGCCCUUUUAGUUCCAGGUACUACUCAUAGAGCAUUCAAACCAUUGUAACU